AGAGUGAACGCUGGCGGUAGGCCUAACACAUGCAAGUCGAACGGCAGCACAGUAGGAGCUUGCUCUUACGGGUGGCGAGUGGCGGACGGGUGAGGAAUACAUCGGAAUCUACCUUUUGGUGGGGGAUAACGUAGGGAAACUUACGCUAAUACCGCAUACGCCCUUCGGGGGAAAGCCGGGGACCAGCAAUGGCCUGGCGCUGAUAGAUGAGCCGAUGUCGGAUUAGCUAGUUGGUGAGGUAAUGGCUCACCAAGGCGACGAUCCGUAGCUGGUCUGAGAGGAUGAUCAGCCACACUGGAACUGAGACACGGUCCAGACCUCCUACGGGAGCAGCAGGUUGGGGAAUAGUUGGACAAGU
This 358-nucleotide ribosomal RNA is filed under the name uncultured soil bacterium. RNAcentral's name for it is "bacterial SSU rRNA". It matches the Rfam family "Bacterial small subunit ribosomal RNA", at positions 26 to 373 of the family's 1533-position model. The record is from RNAcentral.